GUCAUCAAGGGCACUGGUGUUGGAGCUGGGCUGCUGAGUUCUGGCCCACCACCACCGCCCCACUCUCCACCAGGAGCCAUGCAGGGCAACUUAGAGCUCAAUCUAGUCAUGUAUCUCCCCGCAUCCUCCCUGCAGCCACCUCACCCAUCUCCAAGAGUUUAAGGUGGACUUCAUUUCCCAGCCUCCUUUGUGGCUAGGUGUUGUCAUGUGACUGCGUUCUAGCCAGUGGACAAUGAGUAUGAAGCCCUGAGGGCUGAGACCACAUCUGCCUGGUUUUCUGUGGCAGCUGCAGCAUCAACACUGGCUCUUCGAAGAGUAGCAGCUGAUGAACAUUACUCCGGCAAACAAUUUUCUCUGCUAGGAACUGGAUAAAUGCAAAGGAAGGAGGGGAGAGUGUGUCAGACGGGGACCCUGCCCUACUGGAGCACACGCAUCACCACCUGGGUUAGGACGGCCUCACCCGUCCCCUGGACCUUCACCUUAUGUCCCAGAGAGGAGACAUCUGCUAGAGCAAAGAAAAUUCAUUGUCAUAUAAAACAAACAAGAAAACACACACACACAUGUGCACACACACAUACAGAAAGCAAAUAAAACAUUGUUAGAUGAUGUAAAUUGUCAUAUCAGUGUGUGCAGUGGUACCUAUAAAACUGUUAUGUGGCUGGGCGUGGUGGUUCAUACCUGUAAUUCCAGCACU
RNAcentral lists this long non-coding RNA (694 nucleotides) under Homo sapiens (human). RNAcentral describes it as "HSALNT0197089". The record is from RNAcentral. Lineage: Eukaryota; Metazoa; Chordata; Mammalia; Primates; Hominidae.